UACGUAGGGCGCAAGCGUUAUCCGGAAUUAUUGGGCGUAAAGAGCUCGUAGGCGGUUUGUCGCGUCUGCCGUGAAAGUCCGGGGCUCAACUCCGGAUCUGCGGUGGGUACGGGCAGACUAGAGUGAUGUAGGGGAGACUGGAAUUCCUGGUGUAGCGGUGAAAUGCGCAGAGAUCCGGAGGAAGACCGGUGGCGAAGGCGGCCUGCUGGGCAGAUACUGACACUGAGGCGCGACAGCGUGGGAGCAACA
This 249-nucleotide ribosomal RNA is filed under the name uncultured bacterium. RNAcentral's name for it is "partial 16S ribosomal RNA". It matches the Rfam family "Bacterial small subunit ribosomal RNA", at positions 524 to 773 of the family's 1533-position model. The record is from RNAcentral.